GUAUUGGGGGAGACUGGGGGUAGCUGAUGUAGAGGUUGUGUUAAUUAUUAGUUAAAACUCGGUUUCUAAACUACUUUUGAAUUGUAUUUUGUUUGUAUUUCACUUUGAAGAUCUGCAUCUAGCUGUUAUUUGUUUUCAUUCUGUCAGUGAUAAUUAAAGCUCAAUUGUUACUUAAACUCACAAAUGAUUAUCUUCUGUAAUAGAAAGGUAAACAGGACUUUUGUUUUUGUUCAUUUUGUUAUUUCCUGUUAGAGGUUAACUAAUAUUCAUUCUUUAGCAGUUUAUGUCUAUAUAGCAGACAUAGAUGUAGCAGGUAUAGAUAUUGCUGUUUAGCAGCAAUAAUUAGGAAAUUGUCCAAAAGGUCAUAGGAAACCAUCUCACUUCCUUAUUUUUGCACCAAAAUGACAUACCAAACAUUGCAGUGUGAUUGCCAUGGAAAGGACUCAUGGUUUACAAACAGUGCCCCUCCGAGACAGGACUUGGUACAGACACCUUGGGGGACAAGGGGGUAGGCAAGGCGGGCAGGGAGUGGCCGGGGGGUGAGCAGCAGGUGGGUGCUGAGGUCCUUUUCCCUGCUUUAACCUGAUCAGGCUGUUAAUAUUUUGAGUUUUUCUGCUGUUUGUUGCUAAAAGUAAUUCUAAUUGUUC
Molecule: long non-coding RNA, 647 nt
Filed under: Pan troglodytes (chimpanzee)
Lineage: Eukaryota; Metazoa; Chordata; Mammalia; Primates; Hominidae
Description: long non-coding RNA NONPTRT000657
Source: RNAcentral